AUUGAACGCUAGCGGGCUGCUUUACACAUGCAAGUCGAACGAGUGGCGGACGGGUGAGUAAUAUAUCGGAACGUGCCCAGUCUCUGGGGCUACCUACUCGAACGCGUGGCUAAUACCUCACACUAUUGCAGCGGCCGUUCUCGGAUUAGCUAGGUGGGGGGGGAAAGGCUAACCAAGGCAACGAUCCGUAGCUGGUUUGAGAGGACGACCAGCCACACUGGGAAUGAGACACGGCCCAGACUCCUACGGGAGGCAGCAGUGGGGAAUUUUGGACAAUGGGGGAAACCCUGAUCCAGCAAUCCCGCGUGUAUGAGAAGGCCUUCGGGUUGUAAAGUACUGUUGGCAGAGAAGCGGUAUCUGCAGAAUAAGCACCGGCUAACUACGUGCCAGCAGCCGCGGUAAUUC
This 405-nucleotide ribosomal RNA is filed under the name uncultured bacterium. Its description in RNAcentral is "partial 16S ribosomal RNA". It matches the Rfam family "Bacterial small subunit ribosomal RNA", at positions 30 to 526 of the family's 1533-position model. The record is from RNAcentral.